This is a long non-coding RNA of Felis catus (domestic cat), 608 nucleotides long. RefSeq lists it as uncharacterized. The transcript is spliced from 2 exons. Lineage: Eukaryota; Metazoa; Chordata; Mammalia; Carnivora; Felidae. The record is from RefSeq and is a predicted model, not a curated record.
GGUUCUGAGGGUAGAGAAUGAGGGGCAGAUAAUUCGAGUCAGUAAAAAUGUUGGUUUUUACUCUUUAUUGGAUUUUUGAAUCUGUCUCCAUCCCCUCCUGACUUCCGGUUCCUGGCAAUUCUCAGCCUCAGCCCCUGUCUCAGGUAGAAGUUUCUGUGUCAGCCUCAGCCCCUGAUCACCUAUCCCCAAACCAGAGUGGCAGGGCCAGCCCUGCCCCCUUGUGAGAUGGGAGGCGGAUGAGCAUUGACUCUUUGUCAACGUAGAUAAUGUUUCUCCCCACACUUUUUUUUUUUUUUUUUGAAUUUUUGAGGAAGUUGAAGUAUCAGGAUUCCAGCAGAAAACAGAUGGCCCAUUCAAGGGAGGUAAUUGAUAAGAAUUGGGCCUGUUUACAAAGAAGUAGUCUGGGGUCAAGGAAGCCAAAAAAGAAUUGAAACCAAAGCAUGAAGACAAGUCCUUUCCAGGACAAACGUCUGCUCCUUGUGGGUGCCUCAGCUUGUCCACCUCUGAUCAGAAGACCUCUUUGAAGCUACCAAUUGAAGGUGACCAAUCUUCUCUUGUACCAAAAGCGCCUGACCUUAUGUCUUGCAAUAAAAAAUUCCAACACACAA